Molecule: ribosomal RNA, 495 nt
Filed under: uncultured bacterium
Lineage: Bacteria
Description: partial 16S ribosomal RNA
Rfam family: Bacterial small subunit ribosomal RNA
Source: RNAcentral
GACGAACGCUGGCGGCGUGCCUAAUACAUGCGAGUAGAACGCUGAAGGAGGAGCUUGCUUCUCUGGAUGAGUUGCGAACGGGUGAGUAACGCGUAGGUAACCUGCCUGGUAGCGGGGGAUAACUAUUGGAAACGAUAGCUAAUACCGCAUAAUAGUAGAUGUUGCAUGGCAUUUGCUUAAAAGGUGCAAUUGCAUCACUACCAGAUGGACCUGCGUUGUAUUAGCUAGUUGGUGAGGUAACGGCUCACCAAGGCAACGAUACAUAGCCGACCUGAGAGGGUGAUCGGCCACACUGGGACUGAGACACGGCCCAGACUCCUACGGGAGGCAGCAGUAGGGAAUCUUCGGCAAUGGACGGAAGUCUGACCGAGCAACGCCGCGUGAGUGAAGAAGGUUUUCGGAUCGUAAAGCUCUGUUGUAAGAGAAGAACGAGUGUGAGAGUGGAAAGUUCACACUGUGACGGUAUCUUACCAGAAAGGGACGGCUAACUACGUG